GGAUUAGAUACCCUGGUAGUCCACGCCGUAAACGAUGUCUACUAGCCGUUGGGGAACUUGAUUCUUUAGUGGCGCAGCUAACGCAAUAAGUAGACCGCCUGGGGAGUACGGCCGCAAGGUUAAAACUCAAAUGAAUUGACGGGGGCCCGCACAAGCGGUGGAGCAUGUGGUUUAAUUCGAUGCAACGCGAAGAACCUUACCAGGCCUUGACAUCCUGAGAACUUUGUAGAGAUACAUUGGUGCCUUCGGGAACUCAGUGACAGGUGCUGCAUGGCUGUCGUCAGCUCGUGCUG
This 293-nucleotide ribosomal RNA is filed under the name uncultured bacterium. Its description in RNAcentral is "partial 16S ribosomal RNA". It matches the Rfam family "Bacterial small subunit ribosomal RNA", at positions 775 to 1067 of the family's 1533-position model. The record is from RNAcentral.